Molecule: long non-coding RNA, 2343 nt
Filed under: Mustela putorius furo (domestic ferret)
Lineage: Eukaryota; Metazoa; Chordata; Mammalia; Carnivora; Mustelidae
Description: lncRNA (ENSMPUG00000026728.1)
Source: RNAcentral
ACUCAGUAAGGCCACAGUGCUGGGGGUGAACUCAUGGUUUGAUCAUCUAUCAUUGCCUAACACUCCAUCCCCUAGCUUAGAGGUCGUCAUCGUGAUCCUGGGUGUCUGUGAUGAGACCAGACUUAUUAUGUACCGCGAGACCAUCCCAGAUCUUCUAUUCUCCACACCUCAAGCCCCGUGAACAUUUCCUCCAUAGAAAACACGGAGAAUUAACUUAGUUUACUCCAGACAGUGGUUGGAAAUCCAGGAACCCUGCUCUGUAAGUUCUGUCUCAUCUGUGAUCAGCACGUCAGGACUUACCUGAACAUCCCGGGAAAAAGAACCAUGUGACCAAGGUGUAGCCUUCCCUAGCAUUUUGUCACAGAGAAUAUCUUUUGGUUAAUUUGGACAAACAUAAUUUUUUUUUUAACUCAAGACAAAACUUGAGUUGUGCUAUCCAGCAAAUGCAGUUUGGACUAACACCAAAGCACAUUGAUACAUUUUUCUUUUAUGUCUUAAAAGCUUUUUUUGAUGGCAAAUCCAGAGUAUGGUUUUAAAAGCAUGAUUAAUAGCUGGAAGAGGGUUGUGAAUUAUGUAUGAACCCACAGACUCCCAUAGGGGGAAGUGUAUGGAGGUGACAAGGAGAGGACAGCACCAUCACACUCCAGAACUUUCAUUCCCGAGUGCCAUCAAUGUUGUAGAAGUCUCUGGAUACCUUGCUGCAUGGUAGAGGCUCCCAGCCACGACAGCCUCUGAGAGAGCCUCUAGCCCCACGUCUACACCCUCGAUCAGGCUUUCGUCAUGCUGAUUCCAACGUCGUUGGCCAGUCUUGUGACAGCUAGGGAAAUAGCCCAUAUGAGGCAUGUGGCUCAUUUUAUUGCUAUCAGAUGUCCCCGCCUGGCAGGACAGACAUCUGUACGUGGUGCUACAAGAGAAGCGUUGGGGAGGCAGGCCACCUUCAGGCGGAGAAGCAGCACCCCUGGGAGACAGCCUGAGAGGUUCUGGAAGGGGUCAGCUCACAGCAUCAUGGGGCAGGCUGGGCAGGUGUGACCUACCAGGGCGGACGGUGAGGAAUGGGGGCAGCUGAAGGUCAGGGUGCCGUGGCCGGCCACCCACCGACUUCCGUCUGCUUUGGGGCCCGUUUGCUCUUCUUGUAGGGUCUUCCCACUGAUUGAAUGAGGCUAGCCUUCCUUAUCCUAACCGUUUCUAGACUUAGCACUGAGGAAAUAUGGCAAAUGAAAUCCUUUUCCUCUAGUGUCUGACUACCAGGCUUUCCCACCCCUCAUCAGUUACCGUGUUCUCCUUUCUCUGGCAGCAAGAACAUUCCAAUGCUUGUUUCUCUGGCCAGUUUCCCAGCCCUCUCUCCCUGACGGGUCUCUGGAUCUUCAUUGCCUCUCCCUUCUCACAGUACUGCGGCCCCCAACUUGGUGUCCACCCAGCAGCCGCUCUGUUCUCAGUAAUGAACUUCUGAGGCAGCAGGAACAACCAGCCUGGCUUAUUACGCACCCAGACCUGUCCGUACCUGUGACAUGCAAGGUGCCAUGAGAAAUGCAACAGGGCAAAAAGCUUGCCAUCCGCUUUCCUCAACUGCCAAUAAACUGGCUUCAGUUAGGUUUUAUCUUCCCUGGAGAAAACCCUAGAAAGUUCAGGAAGAUCCUGCACUUUGUCUGUGAGCCCCUCCUGCAUCUGCUGGGCUCACCAUGUGUGUAACAGUCAAUUUCAUACCCAACACACCCGCCCUCUCCCAGCAUGCCGGCGCUCCUUCCCCAGCUCCGUGUGCGGCCAGCUCCCGACCCCUGCGCAGGAGAGAACCCACUCCAUCAUGGUGGAUUUUGUUUUUUUCCUUUUAGCACCCUGCUGAUUCUAUUGGCAAAUAUUUUGUUAAGAAUUUCCAUGGAUUGACCGGCUCAGUUGGCUGGGUGUGUGCCUUCAGCUCGGGUCAUGAUCCUGGCGUCGGUCUUGUUUGAUGACUCAGUGUAUGGGCCAUCUUCGUGAACGUUCCACUGGGAAGCAGAUGGUUUUCGUCAUUGGGUGAAGCGUUCUCUACAUGUCGAUUAGGUUAAGUUGGUGGGGAGUGUUGUUCAGAUCUUCCGUGUCCUUACAGAUGGCUUUUUUUUCCCCCUUAUUUAUUCUGUCGGUUGCUGAGAGAGUAUUGAAAUACCCAAUUUUUAUAUUUAUAGAAUAUAUGUAUAUUUAUAGAAGUAUAAACUUUUUUUUGCCAGAGUUGAGCAGUGUGUGUGCCUAGCCUGGAGUUUUCUUUGUGAGAAAGUUUCUAAUUAUGAAUUCUAUUUUCUUAAUUGUCACAGGGUCAUUCAUUCUGUUUUUUUAAAAAUGUUGAGUCCCUCCUCCCUCCUCCCCCCUCCC